RNAcentral lists this ribosomal RNA (367 nucleotides) under uncultured organism. Its description in RNAcentral is "bacterial LSU rRNA". It matches the Rfam family "Bacterial large subunit ribosomal RNA", at positions 2099 to 2465 of the family's 2925-position model. The record is from RNAcentral.
CUUUACUGUAGCCUGGUAUUGGGUUCGGGCUUUGACUGCGCAGGAUAGGUGGGAGACUGUGAAGCAAUCCUUGUGGGGAUUGCUGAGUCAACGGUGAGAUACCACUCUGUCAAGGCUAGAAUUCUAACCCGCAUCCGUUAUCCGGAGUGGGAACAGUAUCAGGUGGGCAGUUUGACUGGGGCGGUCGCCUCCUAAAAGGUAACGGAGGCGCGCAAAGGUUCUCUCAGGCUGGUUGGAAAUCAGCCGUAGAGUGUAAAGGCAGAAGAGAGCUUGACUGCGAGACCUACAAGUCGAGCAGGGACGAAAGUCGGCCUUAGUGAUCCGACGGCGCUGAGUGGAAGGGCCGUCGCUCAACGGAUAAAAGUUA